This 90-nucleotide transfer RNA is filed under the name Actinomycetota bacterium. RNAcentral describes it as "tRNA-Leu". It matches the Rfam family "tRNA". From Rfam's summary of the family: Transfer RNA (tRNA) molecules are approximately 80 nucleotides in length. The record is from RNAcentral. Lineage: Bacteria; Bacillati; Actinomycetota.
GUCGGAGUGGCGGAAUAGGUAGACGCGCUAGGUUGAGGGCCUAGUGCCCUUAAACAGGGCGUGGGGGUUCAAGUCCCCCCUCCGACACCA